UCUUUGNUNACAGCGACGAUUUUUACUCCAGCACNCCGUAGUUGGAUACGAAUAGAACCUCCGGGUCCUUGAUCGCAUAAGGGUCGCAAUGGGAUGUCUGGCGGAAGAGCUUGGAUACGCCCUGCAACCGUAAGGCAAUUUGACAAUGAGCUGGGAUAAAUCCUNUGCAGACGACUUAAAUGUACGGGUGGGUGCAUGUAAGUGGCAGAGUAGCCUUGUUGUUACUAUCCGCUGAG
This 236-nucleotide ribosomal RNA is filed under the name Tuber borchii (whitish truffle). RNAcentral's name for it is "partial 25S ribosomal RNA". Lineage: Eukaryota; Fungi; Ascomycota; Pezizomycetes; Pezizales; Tuberaceae. The record is from RNAcentral.